UACGUAGGGUGCAAGCGUUGUCCGGAAUUAUUGGGCGUAAAGAGCUCGUAGGUGGCCUGUCGCGUCGGCUGUGAAAACUCGGGGCUCAACUCCGAGCUUGCAGUCGAUACGGGCAGGCUAGAGUUCGGCAGGGGAGACUGGAAUUCCUGGUGUAGCGGUGAAAUGCGCAGAUAUCAGGAGGAACACCGGUGGCGAAGGCGGGUCUCUGGGCCGAUACUGACGCUGAGGAGCGAAAGCGUGGGGAGCGAACAGG
This 253-nucleotide ribosomal RNA is filed under the name uncultured bacterium. Its description in RNAcentral is "partial 16S ribosomal RNA". It matches the Rfam family "Bacterial small subunit ribosomal RNA", at positions 524 to 776 of the family's 1533-position model. The record is from RNAcentral.